GACGAACGCUGGCGGCGUGCCUAAUACAUGCAAGUAGAACGCUGAAGAGAGGAGCUUGCUCUUCUUGGAUGAGUUGCGAACGGGUGAGUAACGCGUAGGUAACCUGCCUUGUAGCGGGGGAUAACUAUUGGAAACGAUAGCUAAUACUGCAUAACAAUGGAUGACACAUGUCAUUUAUUUGAAAGGGGCAAUUGCUCCACUACAAGAUGGACCUGCGUUGUAUUAGCUAGUAGGUGAGGUAAUGGCUCACCUAGGCGACGAUACAUAGCCGACCUGAGAGGGGGAUCGGCCACACUGGGACUGAGACCCGGCCCAGACCCCUACGGGAGGCAGCAGUGGGGAAUCUUCGGAAAGGGGGGCAACCCUGACCGAGCAACCCCGCGGGGGUGAAGAAGUUUUUCGGAUCGUAAAGCUCUGUUGUAAGUAAAAAACGGGUGUGAGAGGGGAAAGUCCACACUGGGAGGGGAGUUUCCCAGAAAGGGACGGCAAACUACGU
This 496-nucleotide ribosomal RNA is filed under the name uncultured bacterium. Its description in RNAcentral is "partial 16S ribosomal RNA". It matches the Rfam family "Bacterial small subunit ribosomal RNA", at positions 28 to 506 of the family's 1533-position model. The record is from RNAcentral.